Molecule: ribosomal RNA, 253 nt
Filed under: uncultured bacterium
Lineage: Bacteria
Description: partial 16S ribosomal RNA
Rfam family: Bacterial small subunit ribosomal RNA
Source: RNAcentral
UACGGAGGGUGCGAGCGUUGUCCGGAAUCAUUGGGCGUAAAGGGCGCGUAGGUGGCGGGACAAGCGUGCGGUGAAAGCCUGGGGCUCAACCCCGGGUCGGCCGUGCGAACUGUUUUGCUUGAGCACUGUAGAGGCAGGUGGAAUUCCGGGUGUAGCGGUGGAAUGCGUAGAGAUCCGGAAGAACACCGGUGGCGAAGGCGGCCUGCUGGGCAGUAGCUGACGCUGAUGCGCGACAGCGUGGGGAGCGAACAGG